Molecule: small RNA, 370 nt
Filed under: Histoplasma capsulatum
Lineage: Eukaryota; Fungi; Ascomycota; Eurotiomycetes; Onygenales; Ajellomycetaceae
Also listed under: 1 other name
Description: hypothetical RNA
Source: RNAcentral
GCACUGAGAGUUACAAAUGAGGUCAGCUAUUUGAUACGGACUGGCUCAAAAAUUCAAUUUGACUGUCUGCACACCAAAUCGUCAUAUUUUCUUGACCUUCUCCUCCCUUUCGAAUAUGAUAUGAUACGACGCAAUACAGUUUGUCUUUCGCCGUAUACCCUCUACAUGACCACAUCCGGUGCAUGUGGGGAUAUGUUGCAUUGAAGUCAAGAUUGCGUUCAAACCUUCUAUAUAUGGAUUCAAGGUGUCAUGAGAUUGCGCGGAUAUCAUCAAGGGUGACAUGAAAGUACGACGUUGUGAAACCGCUUGAAUCGCAGAAGUAGGGGAAAAAAACUGUGGGAGUUUGGUCAUAUCCUUUACACAAGCGGGU